This 450-nucleotide ribosomal RNA is filed under the name uncultured bacterium. RNAcentral's name for it is "bacterial SSU rRNA". It matches the Rfam family "Bacterial small subunit ribosomal RNA", at positions 28 to 507 of the family's 1533-position model. The record is from RNAcentral.
GAUGAACGCUAGCGGCAGGCCUAAUACAUGCAAGUCAAGGGGCUCGCAGGAGCACCGGCGGACGGGUGCGUAACGCGUACAGAACGUGCCUUUGGGCGGGGGAUAGCAUUGGGAAACUGGUGGUAAUACCCCAUGGUAUUUCGGGUUGGCAUCGACCUGGAAUUAAAGUUUCGGCGCCCAAAAGAUCGCUGUGCGUCCGAUUAGCUAGUUGGCGGGGUAACGGCCCACCAAGGCGACGAUCGGUAGGGGGUGUGAGAGCAUGACCCCCCCANACGGGUACUGAGACACGGACCCGACUCCUACGGGAGGCAGCAGUAAGGAAUAUUGGACAAUGGGCGGAAGCCUGAUCCAGCCAUGCCGCGUGAGUGAUGAAGGCCCUAGGGUUGUAAAGCUCUUUCAGCUGGGAAGAUAAUGACGGUACCAGCAGAAGAAGCCCCGGCUAACUCCGUG